ACACGCAAACUCCAAAUAUACAAGCGUCAGGGUCGAUCAAACCCACCACCAGUUGAGCUGCUCCAAACCCAAGAGUCAAGAAAUAAAUCAUGGGAGAACAUCUCUCAUGUCUUGGUAAGGCCCACCGAAGCAACCUGGUGUGAGAAGUGGCAGCUCAACGGGGUGUCACGUGCAAAUGUAUAGGAGGGAAAACCCGGAGGACCUGGAGAAACACCAA
Non-coding RNA from Petromyzon marinus (sea lamprey), 217 nucleotides. Lineage: Eukaryota; Metazoa; Chordata; Hyperoartia; Petromyzontiformes; Petromyzontidae. The record is from RefSeq and is a predicted model, not a curated record.